RNAcentral lists this ribosomal RNA (253 nucleotides) under uncultured bacterium. RNAcentral describes it as "partial 16S ribosomal RNA". It matches the Rfam family "Bacterial small subunit ribosomal RNA", at positions 524 to 776 of the family's 1533-position model. The record is from RNAcentral.
GACGUAGGGCGCGAGCGUUGUCCGGAUUUAUUGGGCGUAAAGAGCUCGUAGGUGGCGUGUCGCGUCUGCCGUGAAAGCCCAUGGCUUAACUGUGGGUCUGCGGUGGAUACGGGCAGGCUGGAGGCUGGUAGGGGCAAGCGGAAUUCCUGGUGUAGCGGUGAAAUGCGCAGAUAUCAGGAGGAACACCGGUGGCGAAGGCGGCUUGCUGGGCCAGUUCUGACGCUGAGGAGCGAAAGCGUGGGGAGCGAACAGG